Long non-coding RNA from Pogoniulus pusillus (Red-fronted tinkerbird), 945 nucleotides. RefSeq lists it as uncharacterized. Lineage: Eukaryota; Metazoa; Chordata; Aves; Piciformes; Lybiidae. The record is from RefSeq and is a predicted model, not a curated record. The transcript is spliced from 4 exons.
CUCGGCCCUUUCGGCGCGGCGUGCGGCGGCGUUCGGGCGGCUGCGGGCGGCUGCUCCGGUCCCGGUCCUCGCUGCCCGUCCCCGCAGCCGGGGAAGGCCCAUGCUGGCUGGGCGCUGCUCAUGCCGCCGGCCGCGCUCCCCAGCGCUCCUUCCCGCGCCACGUUGCAGCGAAACCUCUGCAGGCCCCGCACUCUGAUGGCGGCUGUCGGGCGGCGGCGGCGACCCGCUCCGCUGCUCCGCUUCAGCCCUGUCCUUGAGCAAGGGAAGGCUGCGGGAUGAAAGCGUGGCUGUGGAUCGACACUGAGAGAGAGGAGAACAGUGUGAGUAGAGCGUUUUUUAAAGCCUCCAUCUGGGUUCGUGCGGAGUGGGGCAGGUCACAAAGGCUGUUGUGCCAUCGGCUGAACCCUUGUUAGCUGCAUGCUUCUGCCCCUUCAUGUGUCUGCAGCCUGGCAGUAGGCAAAAGCUGAUGCGAAAGAGACUCUGGGCCUUGAGAAAUCGAAGAAGAAGCUGUGUGGUGUGGCAGACCCAGGAGGCUUCUCAAAGACCUGAGAUCAUGCUUGGAGAUGUAGAAGUUGUGGCAAACCUGGCUGCAGCAGCAGGACUGCUGGCAGGACCUGAAGAUCUGUAGAUGGCUAAAACUUCAUCUUUUCUCCUGUGGUGGCCAAAGUCCACUGCAGCCAUUCCAUGUGCCUGUGAUGCUGCCUGUGUUUGGAGUGUUUCCUUCAACCUGUGUACCCAAAUGUCUGUUUCAAAACCCUUUUAUCUGUGUCCUUCCUGCUCUUGGCUUUCCUAUCUGAAGUGCCAUGAGCUGUCCUCUCACCCUUCUCCCAGUCACCUCAGCUCAGACACUUCACACCCAGAUGUUGUGGAAGAGAAAACUGGGAUUGAAAGGUGAUCAAGAGCGGUCUGGAAUCCCAACCUAAAUAAAGAAGCUCCCUCUAACAA